GCCUGCGUGGCCAAGUGGUAAGGCACCUGAUUUGUAAUCAGGCGAUCGGGGGUUCGAAUCCCUCCGCAGGCU
Non-coding RNA from Euryarchaeota archaeon TMED85, 72 nucleotides. NCBI's taxonomy places the organism in Archaea, Methanobacteriati, Methanobacteriota. The record is from Rfam.